UGAGGCGCAUGCGUAUUAACAAGGCGGGAGGAGGGGGCCGGGCUUCUCAGGAGCAGCGACGUUACGAGUCGACAGUGGGCAGUGCUUUCGCCGCCAUUUUGCCUUUGAUUUCCCACCCCUCCUCCUUCCUUUCUUCCUGGCAGCAGAAAGAAGCAAGGACGCGUGAGGUGGAGGCUCGGUCUCUUGUGUGCGUUUUGUUCUCCUUGUCCCUCCGGUAGUCUCGUCGAUAGAUAAGGACAGGAAACCGGCGUCAUGUCCGCUAGUAGAAACCUAAAGCAAGUGAAGAUUGAGAACAGCUCGCCGGCGCCCGCUCCCCCGAUGAGUAUGGUGGGCGGCGGCAGCAUGAAAGGGCUGAGGGGGCUGGAGCCGCCGCCGGAGAACGAAGCAGCCAUGGCGAUGGUGAAAGAGGAGGAGGACCAGAGCGGAGGCUUCACCGUCGACAUCAAGAGCUUCCUCAAGCCCGGCGAGAAGAGCUACACGCAGCGGUGCCGACUCUUCGUGGGGAAUCUGCCCACCGACAUCACUGAGGAGGACUUUAAGCGCCUUUUCGAGCGCUACGGGGAGCCCAGCGAGGUCUUUAUUAAUCGGGACCGAGGUUUCGGCUUCAUCCGCCUGGAAUCUAGAACUCUGGCGGAAAUAGCUAAGGCAGAACUUGAUGGAACAAUUUUGAAGAGCAGACCUCUCCGAAUUCGAUUUGCUACCCAUGGAGCUGCUUUAACAGUCAAGAAUCUUUCACCUGUUGUUUCCAAUGAGCUUCUGGAACAAGCUUUUUCUCAGUUUGGCCCCGUGGAAAGAGCUGUUGCUAUUGUUGAUGAUCGUGGUAGAGCCACAGGAAAAGGCUUUGUAGAAUUUGCUGCUAAACCUCCAGCUCGUAAAGCUCUGGAACGAUGCAGUGAUGGCGCAUUCUUGCUAACAACAACUCCUCGACCUGUUAUUGUAGAACCAAUGGAGCAAUUUGAUGAUGAGGAUGGGCUGCCUGAAAAACUAAUGCAAAAAACACAACAAUAUCAUAAGGAAAGAGAACAGCCACCACGUUUUGCCCAACCUGGAACGUUUGAAUUUGAGUAUGCUUCACGAUGGAAGGCUCUUGAUGAAAUGGAAAAGCAACAGCGGGAACAAGUUGAUAGAAACAUUAGGGAAGCUAAGGAGAAACUGGAGGCAGAAAUGGAAGCAGCUCGUCAUGAGCAUCAGUUAAUGCUGAUGAGACAAGAUCUUAUGAGGCGUCAGGAGGAAUUGAGACGCCUAGAGGAACUUAGAAAUCAAGAACUGCAGAAGCGGAAGCAAAUACAACUGAGACAUGAAGAGGAGCACAGACGGCGUGAAGAAGAGAUGCUGCGCCAAAGAGAACAGGAGGAAUUGAGGAGGCAGCAGGAAGGAGGAUUUAAGCCAAAUUUCAUGGAUAACCAAGGCUUUUGACUUAGUCACAUACGACAUCCUCCUAAAUAAGCUUUGGAAAUGUGGACUGGAGAGGACAUAAAUGGGGAUGCACAGUUGCUUGAAAUACUGCACAUAACAGGGAACUUUUAAAAUACUGAUGUGCAGUUGAAGAUCUGCGGAAGAUGUGUGGUUGACCUGUAUUCCAAGAAUAUGGCAAUGAAGGAAGUUGGAUCCUUACUUGUUUCAGUAAAUAUGAUUUCUACAGCAGAUGAACUAUGCAGAAUUACAUGCAAGCAGCUGCUGCACUGGGAUAUUCUUACUCGAGAAGGAAAUUCUCUGAGGAGUACAUGCUGUCAGAGAUUGGAAUACGGCUAUAAAAUCUCAGCCAGCAUUUGUCCUGGAGAAUCCUUCAUGGAAUCGUACAUCAGAAGACUUCUUUAUUACAUCAUUAUUGCAGUUUCCAUAGAAUUGAGGAAGUAAUCUAGUAUCCUAUGAUAAUACUAUAUACAACCUGCUUAUGAAACAAUCACAGUCAAUGCAUCCAUACAUGUAGCUUCAUCUACCCGUGUUUUAUUUCCACCAUCAUCUGUUUUGGACUGCAGAUUAUUUAGGAGCAGAGAUUUCUCUAUUUUUACAAUGUGAUUAUUAUGCUAUGUACUGUAGUGUACAGUAAACAAUUUUAUUUAUUUAUCUAUUUGAUUUUAGUUGUAUACUGCCCUUUUAGCCUAAGGCCACUCUGGGCAGUUCACAACAUGAUCGAAUAGUAAAACAAUACUACAAAUAUAAAAUAAAAUCAACAUAUAACUACCAUAAAAUAAAACAGUAAUUAAACAAUUACAAUAAUAAGUAUGACAUCACCACUACCAUGGUUGACCAUAUGAUUGGUUCAGUCUUCUAGUAUUACUGUUUUUCAUAAUGACAGUCAAUUUCCUCCUCACUACUAAAGGUUUUGGUUUGAAAAUAAAGAUUUUGUGAUAUGUUAUGACUUGCAUUGAAAGAUCUUUGUAUUUCUAACAACUGGGAUCUCAAGUAGACAGACUGAAAAAGUCUGUGCCAAAGAAUGAGAAAGUAAUAUUGCCCUGGUCUGAUUAUGUGCUUUGGAAAAUAUACUUAGCAAUUUAGGAAAGAAAUCGACUCGGGAAAGUUUUUCUCUCUUUGCCACAUUAGGAGGGACAACAUUGAAGUUUUUAGCUAAUUGUGAAUAUAAUUUGGCCUCAACUCUCCAGUUUUGUUAAUGGUACUUCUGUGUACUUCAGCACUAUGACAUCACAGGAGAAAGAUACCUGCUUUUCAAGAAUUCUGCAAGAACAUUUUUACAUAUUUUGGGCAAAAGUAUUAGAGAAGGCUCUCCUUCAAGGCAAUAUAUAUAUUUUAAUUCUAGUAUAAUUAACUGUGACAUUAAAUGCUGAUUUUAGCACUAAA
Pogona vitticeps (central bearded dragon) is the source of this 2799-nucleotide non-coding RNA. NCBI's taxonomy places the organism in Eukaryota, Metazoa, Chordata, Lepidosauria, Squamata, Agamidae. The record is from RefSeq and is a predicted model, not a curated record.